GGAUUAGUAGUCUGGUCGUGCCACUGGUAUGUACUGGUCUUACUGAUUUCUCCUUCUUGAAGAACCGUAAUGUCAUUAAUUUGUUGUUGCGGGGAAUCUGGACUGUUACCUUGAGAAAAUUAGAGUGUUCAAAGCAGGCAAUACGCCCGAAUACAUUAGCAUGGAAUAACGAAAUAGGACGCGCGGUUCUAUUUUGUUGGUUUCUAGAGUCGCCGUA
RNAcentral lists this ribosomal RNA (217 nucleotides) under uncultured fungus. Its description in RNAcentral is "partial small subunit ribosomal RNA". The stretch from base 40 to 217 matches the Rfam family "Eukaryotic small subunit ribosomal RNA", at positions 686 to 864 of the family's 1831-position model. The record is from RNAcentral. Lineage: Eukaryota; Fungi.